RNAcentral lists this long non-coding RNA (596 nucleotides) under Ananas comosus (pineapple). RNAcentral describes it as "long non-coding RNA (ACOM_LNC024917)". The record is from RNAcentral. Lineage: Eukaryota; Viridiplantae; Streptophyta; Magnoliopsida; Poales; Bromeliaceae.
AUAUAUAUAUAUAUAUAUAGAAUUAGGCUACUAUACUAUCUAUAGUACCGAGCUCCGGUACUAUAGUGUUUGUUUUCGAUCUUAGGGCGUUCAAAUCAAUGAUCCACACCGUUAAAUAUGAUCUAGGGUAUAUGAAUGUCUUAGGAAUAAAAUUUUAGUUUUUUUCGAUAUCGUUUACUUAGUAAAUAAAUUAUAUCAAAAUGGACGGUGGAAAUUGAAUAAUCUUUAAAAUUUGAGUAUAGGACUUUUAAAUUCAAGAUCAAGAAUGUUAACCUUAAUCUAUAUAGUUUAAAGUAUUUUCUAUCAAAAUUUGAAGAAAUUUAAAUUCUUCUACACCGUUAAACUCCAAACUUGUCAUAAUAGCCAUUGAAAAUUGACGAUUUUGAAAUAGUUUGAUCAUAAGGUAAACUAUGUCAAAAAAUUAUAAAAUUUUAUUUCUAGAAACUUUAAAUACCCUAGAUCAGUUUUAACGGUGUGGAUCAUUGAUUUGAACGCCUUAAGAUCGAAAACCAACACUAUAGUACCGGAGCUCGGUACUAUAGAUAGUAUAGUAGCCUAGCUCUAUAUAUAUAUAUAUAUAUAUAUAUAUAUACAAC